CCGCCCAGCUGAGCCACGGUUCCCAGCCCCCUGCUCCCAGAACCACAGGGAAGGGAAGCUCAGGGUGGAGGGGGGUUGGGGGCAACGAGAGCCCUCAGGUACGUCCAGGCUUGGUCCCUCUCCAGCUAUGAGCCCUCGGGACACUCUAUCUGCUUUGGGCUUCGGUUUCCAGCUCUGUAAAAUGGGUGGAUAACAGAAGCUGCCCCCACCAGCAGCCGGGAGGACUCGCUGAGUUAAAGAGCACCAGGUCUGGGUGGACCCUCCCUCUAACUCUUGGGACAGGCACCUGGAGGCCAUCCCAUCUCCCAGCCCCCCAUGCCGGUGCUGACGGCAGGUGCUCAUUCCCCUGGAUAUCCCAAGAGGGGCAAAGAAAUGCACUGUCACGGAGAGCUGGCAGAGAAGGGGUUCCUCUCCUUGCAAAGGGGGUGGGCAGAAAAGCCAGAAGGCUGCCCAGGGAAGGUUGAAGACACUGGCCAGUGCUCAGGAAUGAAGCUGCUGCCGGCGGGCAGGGUGAGUGCGUGGGAGGCGGUCAGAGCCAGGUGGACACGCAGGCUCCAGGCAGGCAGUGCUGAAGGGCACACGGCCUGCUGCCAGCAUCCUGGGCACACCAGACUCCCAGCAUCUCUACAAGGGGUUCCUCCUUAUUUUCCAAACAGGCAACUCAGAUCCUCUGAGCUGACCCAGAGGCUGUGUGCAGUGUCCGAGGGCGGGAGUGCUCAUCCUGUCUCCUGCCUGCACCAUCCUCCCCAGUCUCCUCCCUCACCGACCCCCACGGGAGUCAGGACGCCUCAUCCCCUCCUCCCUGUCUUUUUAAAUGCUCGGCACUAA
Molecule: long non-coding RNA, 828 nt
Filed under: Capra hircus (goat)
Lineage: Eukaryota; Metazoa; Chordata; Mammalia; Artiodactyla; Bovidae
Description: lncRNA (ENSCHIG00010030017.1)
Source: RNAcentral